This is a non-coding RNA of Cinara cedri, 306 nucleotides long. The record is from the annotation of a GenBank genome assembly. NCBI's taxonomy places the organism in Eukaryota, Metazoa, Arthropoda, Insecta, Hemiptera, Aphididae.
CGUUUUAUUUUACUGUCUUGUCGCACUAUCACGUAACGUUUACAUCGAGAUGACGAGAUCAUUUCUUAUCCAUCAUUUCUUCUACGUUUAUUCUACUAUAUGGUCGUCCUAAGACACAAAGAGGGUUUGAGAUUUAGGUGAAGAAGGAUCUUAAGCCCUAACUACUCGAUGAAGCAGUUUCAGUGGAUGUAAUCAGCGCCUAAACAAUUUGGGUGGGGCAUGGGAGGCAUUUACCCCGCACUGUCAUCAGCUGGCCGAAACGUUUUCCGUUCGCAAUGAUCAACCGUUGUAACACUAGAUAUCAUA